GUCCCAAUAGCUCAGCUGGAUAGAGCAACAGCCUUCUAAGCUGUAGGUCGUAGGUUCGAAUCCUACUUGGGACG
This 74-nucleotide transfer RNA is filed under the name Ralstonia pickettii. RNAcentral describes it as "tRNA-Arg". It matches the Rfam family "tRNA". Rfam says of the family: Transfer RNA (tRNA) molecules are approximately 80 nucleotides in length. Their secondary structure includes four short double-helical elements and three loops (D, anti-codon, and T loops). Further hydrogen bonds mediate the characteristic L-shaped molecular structure. tRNAs have two regions of fundamental functional importance: the anti-codon, which is responsible for specific mRNA codon recognition, and the 3' end, to which the tRNAs corresponding amino acid is attached (by aminoacyl-tRNA synthetases). tRNAs cope with the degeneracy of the genetic code in two manners: having more than one tRNA (with a specific anti-codon) for a particular amino acid; and 'wobble' base-pairing, i.e. permitting non-standard base-pairing at the 3rd anti-codon position. RNAcentral also lists the same sequence under 5 other names. The record is from RNAcentral. Lineage: Bacteria; Pseudomonadati; Pseudomonadota; Betaproteobacteria; Burkholderiales; Burkholderiaceae.